UUCCGGUUGAUCCUGCCGGAAGUCACUGAAGCGCCGGUCGAUUAAGCCAUGCGAGUCGAGAGGGUUCGGCCCUCGGCGUACUGCUCAGUAACACGUGGAUAACCUGCCCUAGGGAAGGGGAUAACCCCGGGAAACUGGGGAUAAUACCCUAUAGGUUACAGAUGCUGGAAUGCUCUGUAACCCAAAGUUCCGGCGCCCUAGGAUGGAUCUGCGGCCGAUUAGGUUGUUGUUGGGGUAAUGGCCCAACAAGCCAGUAAUCGGUACGGGUUGUGGGAGCAAGAGCCCGGAGUUGGAUUCUGAGACACGAAUCCAGGCCCUACGGGGCGCAGCAGGCGCGAAAACUUUACAAUGCGGGCAACCGUGAUAAGGGAACCUCGAGUGCCUGUAAAUGCAGGCUGUUUAGGUGUUUAAAACGCACCUGGAGAAAGGGCCGGGCAAGACCGGUGCCAGCCGCCGCGGUAAUACCGGCGGCUCGAGUGGUGGCCACUUUUAUUGGGCUUAAAGCGUUCGUAGCUGGGUUGUUAAGUCUCUUGGGAAAUCUGGCGGCUUAACCGUCAGGCGUCUAAGGGAUACUGGCAAUCUUGGAACCGGGAGAGGUGAGGGGUACUUCGGGGGUAGGAGUGAAAUCCUGUAAUCCUCGAGGGACCACCUGUGGCGAAGGCGCCUCACCAGAACGGCUUCGACAGUGAGGGACGAAAGCUGGGGGAGCAAACCGGAUUAGAUACCCGGGUAGUCCCAGCCGUAAACUAUGCGCGUUAGGUGUAUCGGUGACCACGAGUUACCGAGGUGCCGAAGGGAAACCGUGAAACGUGCCGCCUGGGAAGUACGGUCGCAAGGCUGAAACUUAAAGGAAUUGGCGGGGGAGCACCACAACAGGUGGAGCCUGCGGUUUAAUUGGAUUGCAACGCCGGA
RNAcentral lists this ribosomal RNA (912 nucleotides) under uncultured euryarchaeote. RNAcentral describes it as "bacterial SSU rRNA". It matches the Rfam family "Archaeal small subunit ribosomal RNA", at positions 1 to 922 of the family's 1478-position model. Lineage: Archaea; Methanobacteriati; Methanobacteriota. The record is from RNAcentral.